This is a non-coding RNA of Pantherophis guttatus, 714 nucleotides long. Lineage: Eukaryota; Metazoa; Chordata; Lepidosauria; Squamata; Colubridae. The record is from the annotation of a RefSeq genome assembly.
AAUCUUUCCUCCGGUCAUUGGUUAAACCAGAAGACCUCAAAUGGUUUUGGGGAAGGAAGUUUUCUGGUAGAACCAAUGAGGGCAGAUCUCAUUUGCAUGAAAGGAGAAAGCAGGGGCAUUUAAGGAAAGGAAGGGAGAAGAUCUGAAGAAGGUUAUAAUUUCUUUCCCUAAAAGAAUAUUCCUUGCCAAAGUUGACCAUGGGUUGGGCUGUGAUUUUCUUAGCACUCCUCACUUACUGCACAGGCAUCGAUGGUCAGUCCACUUGGACUCAGCCUCCCUCCAGCUCCGUGUCCCCAGGUGGAGCCAUCACACUCUCCUGCACAACUCAGAGUACCAAUUGGAUUGCUUGGUAUCAACAGAAACCAGGAAAAGGCCCUCGUUUCAUCCACUGUGAUAGCUGCAGUAACAGGGGAGAAGGGAUCCCAAACCGAUUCACUGCCACCCGAUCUGGGACUACAGGAUCUUUGACCAUCAGCAAUGCAGAAGCCGGAGACGAGGCAGAUUAUUACUGUGGUAGCUGGAACAGUGCAUUUACCAUGUUGCACAGUGGUGAAUUCUUAUGGGGAAGUGUGACAAAAACCUCCUCUCUGCCUCUUCAGACUGAAACCACAUGCAACAUACCUUGAUCUGUGACUGGGGACACAUGAGCUGAUGAUGCAGGAUAGAAACUUCCUGCAAAUUCAUCACCUUCUGCAGAGAAAUCUCUCAAUGCCC